AUUGAACGCUGGCGGCAUGCUUUACACAUGCAAGUCGAACGGUAACAGGCCGCAAGGUGCUGACGAGUGGCGAACGGGUGAGUAAUGCAUCGGAACGUGCCCAGUCGUGGGGGAUAACUACUCGAAAGAGUAGCUAAUACCGCAUACGAUCUAUGGAUGAAAGCGGGGGACCGUAAGGCCUCGCGCGAUUGGAGCGGCCGAUGUCAGGUUAGGUAGUUGGUGGGGGAAAGGCUCACCAAGCCAACGAUCUGGAGCUGGUGUGAGAGGGCGACAGGCCACACUGGGACUGGACCACGGCCCAGACUCCUACGGGAGGCAGCAGUGGGGAAUUUUGGACAAUGGGCGCAAGCCUGAUCCAGCAAUGCCGCGUGCAGGAAGAAGGCCUUCGGGUUGUAAACUGCUUUUGUACGGAACGAAACGGCUCUGGUUAAUACCCGGGGCUAAUGACGGUACCGUAAGAAUAAGCACCGGCUAACUACGUG
Molecule: ribosomal RNA, 482 nt
Filed under: uncultured bacterium
Lineage: Bacteria
Description: partial 16S ribosomal RNA
Rfam family: Bacterial small subunit ribosomal RNA
Source: RNAcentral